AGCGGCGGACGGGUGAGUAACACGUAGGCAACCUGCCCCUUAGACUGGGAUAACUACCGGAAACGGUAGCUAAUACCGGAUAAUUCCUUUCUUCUCCUGAGGAAAGGAUGAAAGGCGGAGCAAUCUGCUACUAAGGGAUGGGCCUGCGGCGCAUUAGCUAGUUGGUGGGGUAACGGCCCACCAAGGCGACGAUGCGUAGCCGACCUGAGAGGGUGAACGGCCACACUGGGACUGAGACACGGCCCAGACUCCUACGGGAGGCAGCAGUAGGGAAUCUUCCGCAAUGGGCGAAAGCCUGACGGAGCAACGCCGCGUGAGUGAUGAAGGUUUUCGGAUCGUAAAGCUCUGUUGCCAGGGAAGAACGUCCGGUAGAGUAACUGCUACCGGAGUGACGGUACCUGAGAAGAAAGCCCCGGCUAACUACGUGCCAGCAGCCGCGGUAAUACGUAGGGGGCAAGCGUUGUCCGGAAUUAUUGGGCGUAAAGCGCGCGCAGGCGGCUGUUUAAGUCUGGUGUUUAAACCUUGGGCUCAACCUGGGGUCGCACUGGAAACUGGGCAGCUUGAGUACAGAAGAGGAAAGUGGAAUUCCACGUGUAGCGGUGAAAUGCGUAGAUAUGUGGAGGAACACCAGUGGCGAAGGCGACUUUCUGGGCUGUAACUGACGCUGACGCGCGAAAGCGUGGGGAGCAAACA
This 693-nucleotide ribosomal RNA is filed under the name Paenibacillus sp. SBC-2-1-1. RNAcentral's name for it is "bacterial SSU rRNA". It matches the Rfam family "Bacterial small subunit ribosomal RNA", at positions 94 to 774 of the family's 1533-position model. The record is from RNAcentral. Lineage: Bacteria; Bacillati; Bacillota; Bacilli; Caryophanales; Paenibacillaceae.